GGCCUGGGUGCUCUGAUGGAGCCUAUGUGGGCGCAGCCUGGGUGCUAUAGACCCAAACAUCACAACAAGAUUCCUUGUGGUGGAUCUGUGAGCAAAGACAGGAAUUUCAUGAGCGUAUUCAGAAGCCUGCCAAGGUAAAAGGUCCCUUCAGACACUGAAGGGCAAGCAGACAGCAGCAUGGCAGCUAGGAGACCAAGAUCAAAUCGACCCCAUUUUCAAGGCACCAUGUGAGCCUAAUGCCCUAGAAUUAUGGGGCGGGUGAGUAAUUAAAGUUUUCUCUGUCUAAGGUUCACGCUAAGCCAUGAGUCUUAUACCAGGAGCCGUUUCUACAGACACACCACUUAGUUUCUAUUCUUCCCCCCCAACUUUGCCCAUGUCCCUCCUCUUCUUCCUCUUUGUUCUUCCAAGAAUAUGACAUUAUAUACCAUAAAUCAGUUGUGUCAUCGUGAGCACAGCAUGACAAGGUGGCUUUCUUGCCUGUGUGACACAGGGGGUGGGGUUGAAUUUCUGCCCCAGCUUUACUACCCCAAGGUUUGAUAUCAUCACCCACAGAACAGGAUUGCCAAUGCAAUGACCUGAAGGCUUUUUUUUUUUUUGGAAUAUUGGUCAUACUCCCAGCAGAAGAAAUGAAAACUGAGGUUUAUCUGCAUCAGCAAGCACACAAUUUCUUAUAAUUUAUGGUCAGUUGUUUCCUUAAAUGCCUAUCAGUGAAAAUACAAUCAGCAGCAAGACUGGGGCCAGAUCUUCCUGCAUUGGGACCACAUGACUUCUCUUGGAGACAAAGCAUGUGAAAUUGAUAUUCAGAUCUCCUUGCUUGAGGCUGGAGGAAGGGAAGGCCACAACCUAAAGACGCUUCAUGCUAAGUGAAUAGAGAGACUCCUCCCUGCUAACACACAAGGGUUAGUCUCCACAGGCCGCUUCCAGUCAGGAGUGCACAAGGCUUCAUGGGCUAACAGCCAGCUUCUCUCAGGGACUUUGGGAAAGGGAGCUAUGUGAGAACACACUAUUGAAUGUAACAUUCUAUUACUCAUGCAGAUAUAUUGAAGGAGGCUAUUGAGAAGGAAGAAACUAUGAUUUUCCACCUGGGGAAAUCAAUUGCCAGCCAAGACAUCUGUUGUUAUGCAGCCAUCCAAAAGAGAUCACUUCUGGUGUCUUCUGAGGUCCAGGUAGCUGUGGUGCCUGACAUUUCCACAUUUCCAUGAUUGGAUGAUAACCUGUAACACAAACACAACUCACUAUGACUAAUCUAUUUCCACUGAGCUUGACAGAUAAACACCCGGGACAUGGCUGCUUCCUUUCUAUUUGGGUCAUGGAAGUCAAUUUUCACAGGACAAACAGAGCUGAGCAGGAAGCGUGCUACUGCCUUGUUCCAAAGGUCAACAGAAGAUACUCCGUCAGUAUAUUUGUUAGCUUCCUCUUCUCUGGCAGAUGCCUGACAAACACCUUAAGGAAGGAGACAUUUUUCUUGCCUCGCUGUCUGAGUGAGCGCCGGCAAUCCUGGCAGGGAGGGUGUGGUGCAGCAGAGUGGACCCACACCACCAACAAGGAGGGAUGGAGACAGAAUGGGGGUGGGCAUGAAUUCAGAGUAAGUCUGCUCUCCAGGGCUCUCCCCAUCUCUUUUACUUUCCAGGGCCCCUCAGUCUACAGGAUGGUGGGGUGCUAUCCACAUCCAGCACAAGUGUUCCCCACUUACACAAUUUUCCCUGGAUGUGACCUCACAGACACACCCAUGAGUGAACUUUACCAGUCUCCUAGUUGUGAACUUUUCAGUAUAAUGAAGUUGAUAAGUUUAGCCAUCAGGGGUUGUGGAGAUGGCUUGAUAGAUCAAGUGCUUGCCCCAAAGAAUUUGGAUCAUCAGAACCAGUGUAAAAGUCAGGCGGGUGUGGUAGCCAGCCUGUAAUCCCAGCAAGCUGGAGGGGAGGUAGGGAGUCCCUGGAGCAUGCUGGCUAGGUAGACUAGCCAAUGUAAGAAGCUCAGGGAUCAGCAAGGGACCCUGCCUCAAUACAUAAGUGAAUAGUCAAGGAACACACUCAACAUCAACCUCAGGCUUCCACACAUAUGUGUACAUGCACCCAUACACCUACAUAAUGUAUAUACAACACACACACACACACUCAACAAAGGAAAGAAAAAAGGUUAGUCACAGUCAGUAAACUUGAAAUUAGGGGAACAGUCUGGAUUAUGAUAACAAAACUCCUCAGAUGCUGUUCUGUAACAAGAGAGACCACUGAGAGGACGGCCCAAUGCUGCUUCGGAAUAUGCUAUUGCUAUAGAGAAGUCUGUAUGAAGAGCCAAAUCAUACGCGGUUCUCUUCUGGGUAUCCAUGUACCAGGAGAGGGUGAGAGGCAGUGGAGAAGGUGGCUGGACUGACAGCCAUGGCUGGCCCCAUUAGGCUGUGUGGAGCUGAUACAUCGUUCGCCCCUGGAGGGACAGAUCUGACAGGUGGUAGGAAUAUGUGGAACCAGUGGUCAUGCCUGAGAUUCACUGACACAUUUUUCCUUCUUGGCUUCUUUUCUCUAGAAUUCAUGCAUAGUUUUUUUUUUUAAAGUAUUUUAUACAUGUCAAUCCUUGUUUUGGGUUCUAUGAUUAUGGAAAUGAAUUUAAAAGAAUCAAUUCUUGCUUCUAAGUACCUCACAGGCUGUUAUAGACAAUCAGACAGAGAUAUGAUGGCAAAAUGCUGUAUUGUGGGGGCUCUUUGUAACAGACCUAGGAUAUCUUGGACUCUUCUGAUCCUGGCUGGAUGAAGACUCUUAAGAUAUAAAUGGCUAUGCCAUUUACUAGCUGGGUAAUAGAAACAAUUUAACUUCACUGGGCUCUAGUUUGCUUAUGGACAAAAUAAGGACUUUAAGAUCCCUACUUCUCUGAAUAGUGAGGUCAGAGUCAUAAAACACCUGUGAGGUUAUUAAAACGAUGGCUAGGUGUGGUGAUGCACAUCUAUCGUCCUAGGACAUGGGAGGUAGAAGAAGGAGGACCAGGAAGAGUUCAAGGCCAGUCUGGGCCACAUGAGACCUACUUUCAUAAAACCAAGUAACCACAUCCACACGCUGGGAUGGAAUGACGGCAAUAAUGAUAAAUUUGGUCAACUUUUGUGCUAGAUACUGGGAGUAUGGCAUGGGCAAUCUAAUAUUUCAAGCUCAGCCAUGGAAGAGCAUAAAGCCAAACCCUUCCUGCACAUUAACACACACGUAUCCUGUGAAAGGAAGGAGGCACACUAUCAGGGGAGGCGCACCCACUUCUGAACCUGUGACAAUUUGUCUGAAACAGAAAUAUUUUCACCCAAGGGUUUAGGAGGAUAGUGUUAUUUUUUUUCCUUCAAUGGUUAAUAUUGACUGACAACUUGGCAGGAUUAGACUCACCAAAUAGACAAGCCUCUGGAUACGUGAGUGAGGGAGUGUCUAGAUUAAGUUAGUUGAAGUGGGAAGACCCAUCCCAAAUGUGGACAGCACUAUUCCAUGGGCUGGGGUUUCAGACUGCUCACAUAAAAAUGAGGACGGUAACCCCUCCGCUCAGGGCUGGGGCAUCGGUGCGGAAGAGGAGGCAGACAGCCUGUAAGAGCCGGUGGGGAUGGAGGACACCACGGAAGCAGUGUCUCCCAGGACAACAGGAUUGAUGCAAGCGGGAACUCGUGGACACUGUGGCCUCAUGCCCAAGGCCUGCACAGGUCCGAGCCAGGUGGGGUCCCGGUGCUGAGAAGAAGUGGACAUGAUCUCCCAUCCUGACCCAGAGGCUAUCUCCAACUGACAGCCACCGACAGGAGAAACUGGUAUUCUCCAAUGGAGUCUCACUCUGUAUCGAAACCACACUCAAGGGCGGGCCGCAUGCACAGCUAUAGCGGCCGACAGAAAAUGAACUCAUUGGCAUUUUCAGGGAUGUUUUGUCUCUUCCAUCCUGGGUUUGGACUUCCUUUUUUUUAACCUUACUUGUCUUGCUUUUCUGUUUCCCCAUUUUAUGUUUUUCAUGGGUUUUAUGUGUA
Peromyscus leucopus (white-footed mouse) is the source of this 3973-nucleotide long non-coding RNA. RefSeq lists it as uncharacterized. The record is from RefSeq and is a predicted model, not a curated record. Lineage: Eukaryota; Metazoa; Chordata; Mammalia; Rodentia; Cricetidae. The transcript is spliced from 3 exons.